RNAcentral lists this long non-coding RNA (2180 nucleotides) under Equus caballus (horse). Its description in RNAcentral is "lncRNA (ENSECAG00000053604.1)". Lineage: Eukaryota; Metazoa; Chordata; Mammalia; Perissodactyla; Equidae. The record is from RNAcentral.
CUCCCUGGGAUGAUGGUAGCAGCUGCUUGACUCUGAUUAGUGUUUCCGAAACUCAUCAGAUCCUAAUACUCAAAUUGGUGUUUGUUUCAAAUAGAUUUCCUAAUUCCUCCCUUGGAGAUUAUGAUUCAGUAGGGUCUGGGCAGAGACAGGAAAACUAUAUUUAUUUAUAACACACACACACCUUUUUUAAGCUCAGAGGAGUUUGAGAAAUUCAGAACUAGAGCUUUUUAUGGAUCAGGCAUUGUGCAAAUGCUUCAUGUUCAUUCGCAUUCAAUGCUCCCAAUGUGAUUCUGUGUGGUAGAAGCCAUUAUUUCCCCCAUUGUACAGGCGAGAAAAGUGAGCAUCAAGGUGAUUAAGGAACCCAACACAGCUAAACUCCAAAAAAGUGUGCCCUUAACCACUGCACUGUGCUAUAAUUUGUCAUUUUACUGCUCAGAUAAAAUGAGGAACUUGCUAAGACUUCUAGGCCAUCACCUCUGCUUAGGAAGGGUUAGUAUAGUAUAAAAGGAAAGGAUUUUCUUUGUCCCUACUCUGUACCUCAGUCACUCCACUCCUGGGAAUUUAUCCUGAGACACUAUUGGCCACUACCAGCAUGUGAGAUUUUUGGGGGUGGUACUUGAACUAAUGCUUUCUGUUUUAGUGGUGCUGGUUUUGUUUUUUUGUGCGUGUGUGAAGAAGAUUGGCCCUGAGCUAACAUCUCCUAUCCAUCUUCCUCUUUUUGCUUGAGGAAGAUUGUCACUGAGCUCACAUGUGUGCCAAUCUUCCUCUAUUUUAUGUGGGAUGCUGGCACAGCACGGCUUGAGGAGUGGUGUGUAGAUCCAUGCCUGGGAUCCAAACUGGCAAACCCCAGGCCGCUGAAGCGGAACACACAAACUUAACCACUACGCCACCGGACCAGCCCCAGUGCUGUAUUUAUUUUAAUGUGUAUUAGUUUGAAAAAAAAAGACUAGCAUAGUAAAUACUGUGUUUAAAAAUUAAUCAGUUUAAAAAAAUGGCAUUUGGUAGAUGAUAUUAUGGGUGGUAUGAAUAUAUGGCAAAUUUAGAGGACAUGAAUGAGUGAAAUUUGAGAAACACAGUGCUCAGAAAAGAGUCCAAAGGGAGAGAAUUUUUUGUAGAGCUGUUGACUUCAGCAUCCUCUGUAAAAGUCAGGAGUCUUGAUUGACAGGUAACAGAAUUUACGUUGGCUGGUCUAAGCAGAAGAGGGAUUUGUGUAAGGGUGCUAGGCAGCUUACAGAAUUCUGGGGCGGGCUGGAGAAAUAGCUCCCAAGCCAUAGAACUGAUCUGACCUGUUAAGAAAACUGCUGCUACUGCCACUGCCACCAAACACUAAAUGCCAGGACUUAGUCUUGUCUGCAGCAAAUACAGCUUGUGGCACUGAAGCCACUUUUGCAUCAAGGAAAUGACCUUCUCUCUCCCCUGGCCCCCAAAGCCAGGCAAAUUCAAAGUCUCACAUGGAUGUGUCUGAUUGGAGAAGCCUGGAUCAUCAUAUGUCAGUGUCCUUGUAUCAGAGAAGGCUGAGAGAUGUAUUCUAAGUGUGAUGUUGGGGAGCAGGACUGAUGGCAGGAAGUUUGCCCAGAUGUCCAGCCAUGCCUAAGACCAAUAUCACAGUGAAAGAGCGGAAUGAACACAAGUGUCCAGUAUGUGGAUAUGGUAGCAUGAAUUUUGGCUUAGCCACUAAAUAUUAACUGAGUGGGCACAGAGUUGCAGAGACAAGGGGAGCCAACCACCUGUGAAAAUGCUUGGGAGAAGUGUUAAAUGAAGAAGGAAGGCUGGCUACCAUAGAAAAAUAGCAUGCGUACAAGGUGGGAGUGGGGAGUGGGACAAAGGAAGUCAAAAACAAUCAUGGCUUUAAGAGGUUGUGAAUUUGCUUCAAGAAAGAGAGAUUUUUGUCUCUUUCAAACAUUUAUGUGAUUACAGUGAAAGAAAAAUUCUCUGUGCAGAAUCUUGAAGUCUUAAAAAAGAUGCUCUUAAAAUCAAACUGCUGGGGCCAGCCCUGUGGCUGAGUGGUUAAGCUCACGCGCUCCACUUUGGUGGCCCAGGGUUUCACCAGUUCAGAUCUUGGGCGCGGACCUAGCGCUGCUCAUCAGGCCAUGCUAAGGUGGCGUCCCAAAUAGCAGAACCAGAAGGACCUACAAUUAGAAUAUACAACUGUGUACUCGGGGCUUUGGGGAGCAGAAGAA